AUUACUUAAAUGGGUUAACCCAU
This 23-nucleotide small nuclear RNA is filed under the name Arabidopsis thaliana (thale cress). RNAcentral's name for it is "snRNA_06734". Lineage: Eukaryota; Viridiplantae; Streptophyta; Magnoliopsida; Brassicales; Brassicaceae. The record is from RNAcentral.